Molecule: long non-coding RNA, 286 nt
Filed under: Suricata suricatta (meerkat)
Lineage: Eukaryota; Metazoa; Chordata; Mammalia; Carnivora; Herpestidae
Description: lncRNA (ENSSSUG00005000695.1)
Source: RNAcentral
ACUAGCACAGGAAUCCGCCGGGAAAACUGAACUUGAUCCCUUUCACGCGCCCCUGUUCACUCGGACGCGCAGGAAAUUUACGUCAUCAAUACUCGGCGGCUGAAGGUGGGAAAGCCAAGGCUCGUGCGGUCGCUAGUGCGCAAGCUCGAAGCAAAGUUGGCCCCCGCGGAGCUGGCUAGCGAGUUUAAGCAGGAUUUAAAGUCCAUGUAAGGCCACCUGGUGGCUCAGUUGAUUGAGCAUCCCACUUCCUCUCAGGUCAGAUCUGGUUCAUGAGUUCCACCCUGCA